Molecule: ribosomal RNA, 468 nt
Filed under: uncultured bacterium
Lineage: Bacteria
Description: partial 16S ribosomal RNA
Rfam family: Bacterial small subunit ribosomal RNA
Source: RNAcentral
GACGAACGCUGGCGGCGUGCUUAACACAUGCAAGUCGAACGGAAAGGCCCUGCUUUUGUGGGGUGCUCGAGUGGCGAACGGGUGAGUAACACGUGAGUAACCUGCCCUUGACUUUGGGAUAACUUCAGGAAACUGGGGCUAAUACCGGAUAGGAGCUCCUGCUGCAUGGUGGGGGUUGGAAAGUUUCGGCGGUUGGGGAUGGACUCGCGGCUUAUCAGCUUGUUGGUGGGGUAGUGGCUUACCAAGGCUUUGACGGGUAGCCGGCCUGAGAGGGUGACCGGCCACAUUGGGACUGAGAUACGGCCCAGACUCCUACGGGAGGCAGCAGUGGGGAAUAUUGCACAAUGGGCGGAAGCCUGAGGCAGCAACGCCGCGUGCGGGAUGAAGGCCUGCGGGUUGUAAACCGCUUUCGCCUGUGACGAAGCGUGAGUGACGGUAAUGGGUAAAGAAGCAACGGCUAACUACGUG